GAUGAACGCUGGCGGCGUGCCUAACACAUGCAAGUCGAGCGAACAGACGAGGAGCUUGCUCCUCUUACGUUAGCGGCGGACGGGUGAGUAACACGUGGAUAACCUACCUAUAAGACUGGGAUAACUUCGGGAAACCGGAGCUAAUACCGGAUAACAUGUUGAACCGCAUGGUUCAACAGUGAAAGACGGUCUUGCUGUCACUUAUAGAUGGAUCCGCGCCGCAUUAGCUAGUUGGUAAGGUAACGGCUUACCAAGGCAACGAUGCGUAGCCGACCUGAGAGGGUGAUCGGCCACACUGGAACUGAGACACGGUCCAGACUCCUACGGGAGGCAGCAGUAGGGAAUCUUCCGCAAUGGGCGAAAGCCUGACGGAGCAACGCCGCGUGAGUGAAGAAGGUCUUCGGAUCGUAAAACUCUGUUAUUAGGGAAGAACAAAUGUGUAAGUAACUAUGCACGUCUUGACGGUACCUAAUCAGAAAGCCACGGCUAACUACGUG
This 497-nucleotide ribosomal RNA is filed under the name uncultured bacterium. RNAcentral describes it as "partial 16S ribosomal RNA". It matches the Rfam family "Bacterial small subunit ribosomal RNA", at positions 28 to 507 of the family's 1533-position model. The record is from RNAcentral.